RNAcentral lists this ribosomal RNA (468 nucleotides) under uncultured bacterium. RNAcentral's name for it is "partial 16S ribosomal RNA". It matches the Rfam family "Bacterial small subunit ribosomal RNA", at positions 28 to 507 of the family's 1533-position model. The record is from RNAcentral.
GACGAACGCUGGCGGCGUGCUUAACACAUGCAAGUCGAACGGAAAGGCCCUGCUUUUGUGGGGUGCUCGAGUGGCGAAGGGGUGAGUAACACGUGAGUAACCUGCCCUUGACUUUGGGAUAACUUCAGGAAACUGGGGCUAAUACCGGAUAGGAUCUCCUGCUGCAUGGUGGGGGCUGGAAAGUUUCGGUGGUUGGGUAGGGAAUCGGGGCUUAUCAGCUUUUGGGUGGGGUAGGGGCUUACCAAGGCUUUGACUGGUUGCCUGCCUGACAGGGUGACCGGCCACAUUGCAACUGGGAUACGGCCCAGACUCCUCCGCGACGCAGCAGUGGAGAAGAUUGCCCAAUGGGCGGAACCCUGAUGCAGCAACGCCGCGUGCGGGAUAACGGCCUUCGGGUUGUAAACCGCUUUCGCCUGUACCGAAGCGUGAGUGACGGUACUCGGUAAAGAAGCACCGGCUAACUACGUG